RNAcentral lists this long non-coding RNA (213 nucleotides) under Vigna radiata. RNAcentral describes it as "long non-coding RNA (VRAD_LNC012685)". Lineage: Eukaryota; Viridiplantae; Streptophyta; Magnoliopsida; Fabales; Fabaceae. The record is from RNAcentral.
CAACAUUCAAACAAAAUAAAAUAAAAUACUAGACCCCAACAAGACAACAAACAACUACCUAACACAGUUAAAUUAAAUUAAAUGCAAAACUGAAUUAAAGAAAUGAUAAACAACUCAACCUACUAUGCAAGCUAAUUUAAAACAAAAGAAAUAAUCAAACAUGCUUUUUCCUCUAUCAUUCACGUGACUCCAUGCACCACAACUAAAGGAAUU